Molecule: ribosomal RNA, 464 nt
Filed under: Streptococcus oralis
Lineage: Bacteria; Bacillati; Bacillota; Bacilli; Lactobacillales; Streptococcaceae
Description: bacterial SSU rRNA
Rfam family: Bacterial small subunit ribosomal RNA
Source: RNAcentral
GACGAACGCUGGCGGCGUGCCUAAUACAUGCAAGUAGAACGCUGAAGCUUGGUGCUUGCACCGAGCGGAUGAGUUGCGAACGGGUGAGUAACGCGUAGGUAACCUGCCUGGUAGCGGGGGAUAACUAUUGGAAACGAUAGCUAAUACCGCAUAAGAGUAGAUGUUGCAUGACAUUUGCUUAAAAGGUGCAAUUGCAUCACUACCAGAUGGACCUGCGUUGUAUUAGCUAGUUGGUGGGGUAACGGCUCACCAAGGCGACGAUACAUAGCCGACCUGAGAGGGUGAUCGGCCACACUGGGACUGAGACACGGCCCAGACUCCUACGGGAGGCAGCAGUAGGGAAUCUUCGGCAAUGGACGGAAGUCUGACCGAGCAACGCCGCGUGAGUGAAGAAGGUUUUCGGAUCGUAAAGCUCUGUUGUAAGAGAAGAACGAGUGUGAGAGUGGAAAGUUCACACUGUGACG